This 657-nucleotide ribosomal RNA is filed under the name uncultured bacterium. RNAcentral's name for it is "bacterial SSU rRNA". It matches the Rfam family "Bacterial small subunit ribosomal RNA", at positions 28 to 681 of the family's 1533-position model. The record is from RNAcentral.
AUUGAACGCUGGCGGCAUGCCUAACACAUGCAAGUCGAACGCGAAAGUACCUUCGGGUACGAGUAGAGUGGCGGACGGGUGAGUAACGCGUAGGAAUCUGCCCAGUAGUGGGGGACAACUCGAGGAAACUCGAGCUAAUACCGCAUACGCCCUACGGGGGAAAGCGGGGGAUCUUCGGACCUCGCGCUAUUGGAUGAGCCUGCGUCGGAUUAGCUAGUUGGUGAGGUAACGGCUCACCAAGGCCGCGAUCCGUAGCUGGUCUGAGAGGAUGAUCAGCCACAUUGGGACUGAGACACGGCCCAAACUCCUACGGGAGGCAGCAGUGGGGAAUAUUGGACAAUGGGCGAAAGCCUGAUCCAGCAAUGCCGCGUGUGUGAAGAAGGCCUGCGGGUUGUAAAGCACUUUCAGUAGAGAAGAAAAGCAUGGGGAUAAUACCCCCGUGUCUUGACGUAACCUACAGAAGAAGCACCGGCUAACUCCGUGCCAGCAGCCGCGGUAAUACGGAGGGUGCAAGCGUUAAUCGGAAUUACUGGGCGUAAAGCGUACGUAGGCUGUUAUUUAAGUCAGAUGUGAAAGCCCCGGGCUUAACCUGGGAAUUGCAUUUGAUACUGGAUAACUAGAGUCUGGUAGAGGGUAGUGGAAUUCCACGUGUAGCGG